AGAGUUUGAUCCUGGCUCAGAACGAACGCUGGCGGCAAGCUUAACACAUGCAAGUCGAACGGAUUAUUCUUGUAGCUUGCUAUGAGAAUAAUUAGUGGCAGACGGGUGAGUAAUGCAUAGGAAUCUACCUAGUAGUAUAGGAUAGCCACUAGAAAUGGUGGGUAAUACUGUAUAAUCCCUGCGGGGGAAAGAUUUAUCGCUACAUGAUGAGCCUAUGUUAGAUUAGCUAGUUGGUGGGGUAAUGGCCUACCAAGGCAGUGAUCUAUAGCUGGUCUGAGAGGAUGAUCAGCCACACUGGAACUGAGACACGGUCCAGACUCCUACGGGAGGCAGCAGUGGGGAAUAUUGGACAAUGGGCGCAAGCCUGAUCCAGCUAUGCCGCGUGAGUGAGGAAGGCCUUAGGGUUGUAAAACUCUUUCAGUGGGGAAGAUAAUGACG
Molecule: ribosomal RNA, 438 nt
Filed under: Anaplasma bovis
Lineage: Bacteria; Pseudomonadati; Pseudomonadota; Alphaproteobacteria; Rickettsiales; Anaplasmataceae
Description: bacterial SSU rRNA
Rfam family: Bacterial small subunit ribosomal RNA
Source: RNAcentral